This 31-nucleotide non-coding RNA is filed under the name Mus musculus (house mouse). The record is from RNAcentral. Lineage: Eukaryota; Metazoa; Chordata; Mammalia; Rodentia; Muridae.
UAAAAGCAAAAACAAGAAAUGCAAAACUUGC